Acanthopagrus latus (yellowfin seabream) is the source of this 321-nucleotide long non-coding RNA. RefSeq lists it as uncharacterized. Lineage: Eukaryota; Metazoa; Chordata; Actinopteri; Spariformes; Sparidae. The transcript has 5 exons. The record is from RefSeq and is a predicted model, not a curated record.
CGACGUUGCUUGAUGUCUUUGAGGUGCUGGCUUGGUGUUUGACAUUUGUUUGACUCAAUGCGCGCAGGCAGAUAUCGACCACACAAUCUAAGUGAAUGGUCGCCAGUUUAACCAGAUGCAGCACAGUGGUAAAGAGCAGAAUCUUUCUGCUUUUGGGGCACCUGAGGCAGAUAGUUAAAGGGUGAACCCAAGACUGACACUUUUUAAUAAGUUCAUUGAAAUAAGAAGCUGGCACAGGGUUCUCCCCAGACUGUGGAAUAACGGAUGGGACCAGAGUUGCCAACUCUCUCGGUCCCCACAACUUUACAGUGAAGGAAACAA